RNAcentral lists this long non-coding RNA (1134 nucleotides) under Homo sapiens (human). RNAcentral's name for it is "HSALNT0334157". The record is from RNAcentral. Lineage: Eukaryota; Metazoa; Chordata; Mammalia; Primates; Hominidae.
AGGUUUAUUGCCUGGCUAUAGACAGCCCGAGAAAGAAAGUUAGCUUCCCACCCCCGGCAGCUGCAGUGAUUGGAAAACGAGCCUGAGCCUUUUCACCGAAAAGAAUAUAUCAUUAUCCGUUGGGUUCGCCCUACUUCCCUGUUAAGAAUCACCUGAAGUGCCUAAAAAUCCGCGAGUUUCAGGGCUUUUCCCUGGAAAUAAUGAUUUAGAACGUCCUGGGGGAGGGCCUAGGAGUCUGUGGGUUUAAUAAGCACCUCCAGGAUUUGUGUCUUCGGACAUGAUUCGUGCUUGUGGACAAAACUGACCUCGGAGCUGAGUUCUAGAACCUGCUGCAAGAGUCUGCCUUUGGGAUCCAUGGGAGGGCUCACACCAAGGUCACAGUCUUCCCCAGGCUGCUCCCAGUCCACAGCACAUGGCAGGAGUACUGGAGCUGGGCCACUUCUGCUCAAGUCAAGCAUUGAAAAAUCCUGGAACUUUCAAUAUUUAUGUAGCCAAAGUGUCUCUCUUGCUCACUCACUUGCUUGCUUGUGUACCACUAAUUGAGCAACUACUAUGGGCCAGAUGCUCUGGAAAAUGUUGUUCUGAAGAGGAGUACUAAUCUUCACCAGUGGUGCACCUAGCUGUAUUUUGCACAUUAGGAAACAGACCCAGAGGCACACCUCCCAGAUGCAUCUUCCUCAUGGGGUUGUCGCAGGGUUUAAGAAAAUGAACUCAUAUAAAGGGCUCAGAAUAGUGUCUGGAUCACAGAACUCUGAAGAAUUUAUGUCAGUGAUUCUGAAGUGAGAAUGGAACAUGGAUCCAACCCCUCUAAGGCAGAAGAGAUGUGAGCAGAUUACCUUCUCUGUCCUUAAAAGGAGUGGCCCUGCAUUCCCUGAGAGGGCAUAGCUGGGGCAGUCAUCUGGACCCACCAGACAGGAGCUGAAGCUUGAUAAAAGGUGCCUGGUUCCAGUGACUAUGGAGCAGCCUGCCAGCACUAGAGGAGUCACAGAGAUGUCUAGAUGAGUCACAGAGACAUUUACAUGACAGAAAAAUAAACAACUAUGUUGUUUAAGCCAUUAUUAGUCAGUCUUUCAGUUCAAGCAGCUACACGUGUAUUUUAAUUAAUACCAAGACAGCUCUGUAAGUUUGAUCCAU